This 239-nucleotide long non-coding RNA is filed under the name Manihot esculenta (cassava). Its description in RNAcentral is "long non-coding RNA (MESC_LNC009630)". The record is from RNAcentral. Lineage: Eukaryota; Viridiplantae; Streptophyta; Magnoliopsida; Malpighiales; Euphorbiaceae.
GUAGAUACAUGUUUUCAUAAAAUGUUUUAAGGUAUUUCAUGGUUUUAAGUAUGAAAAUUAAAUGAGUUUUUGCAUGAAAAGUCUUUGGAGGAAAACCCAGGUUCGGCCGCCGAAAGUCAAGUUCGGCCGCCGAACAUGCAUGCGUUUUGGAGGCAUGUUAGGCCCCCGAAAGCAUGAGUGAGGGAAGUUCAGGUUCGGCCGCCGAAACCCAAGUUCGGCCGCCGAACAUGGCAUGCAUG